This is a long non-coding RNA of Bactrocera neohumeralis, 3118 nucleotides long. RefSeq lists it as uncharacterized. NCBI's taxonomy places the organism in Eukaryota, Metazoa, Arthropoda, Insecta, Diptera, Tephritidae. The record is from RefSeq and is a predicted model, not a curated record. The transcript has 2 exons.
AAGCGAUGUGACGCUGGAAAACGUAUAGUUGAGAAUGAGGCAGAUAGUGUGCACUGCAAAUUGUAUAAAGAUAAAAGAAAAUAUAUAACACCAAAGGAAUAGCAAACAUAGCAAUCAACAACUAAGCAAUAUAAGCAGCUGGCAAGCCUUCACAACCAGCUAGCUAGUUUGCCCAGCCACAGGCCCAGUCAGUUUGCGGCACUUGCCAACAAAGCUAUUAUGGCGUUUUGUUUACUUUACGAAUAACAUGUACGGCGAUUGCAACACAACAACGUCAGCGGCUGCCGUCUUCUCAUUUCGAUCCAUCGAUGCAAUGUUGUUCGUUCACCUCUUUGGCCCACUCCCUCAACACCAUUCACCGCCGCCGUAGUAAAUAGUUGCCAAUGACUUAAAGUCAGCAGAAAUGCAUACAAAUACUUUUGAAUAUGUGUGUAUGUGCAUCAAAUGCAGACAUUUUUCUUUGCGCUGUUAUUUCCCAUUCUUCUCUUUCUUGUGUCAAAUGUUUGCUUUGCUGCCUCACAGAUUCUUUUUCAUUUAUAUGCAAUUCUAUUCGCAUACUACAAUUACACAUUAUAUUAUUCAAUAAUGGCCGGUAGCUCGUAAGUUUCACCGCCAAUAUACUAGUAGCGAGUUUUUUUUGGCAAAAACAAAAAUUUCACUUAUCGUAGCUUGAUAGCGCCCUGUUCUCAUCUUGGUUUAAUGAAUUUGUUGCAAAAGCAACUUUUUUUAUACAGCAAUAAAAAUUUAUUUUUAAACUUUCGUUGCAUAUAAAGAAAAAAAUGGAUACACAAAAAGUGAUACGACAAAUUUCAAUGCCUAAAAAUAUCAAAUUAGACACAGCUAUAACACAACGAAUGGUUUGUCUCUAACGAAUUGUGUAUUUCAGUGAGCUUAUGAGAAAUGCUUGUUUUUAAAGUGCAAAUGCAUACUUCGGACUGCUGUUUUACAAUUAGAAACUUUAACACUAAGAGAUAUUCAAUAUCAUGUAAUAUACUUUAAUUUCAUCUAGCACCUACGCAAAUAUUACAAAAUCUUUGAAAGAAUAAUUCAUAAAGCAUGAGAAAUUUGGAUUUAGUAUUUACAUACAUACAUAUACAUAUGUAUGUAGUGGAUUAUAACAAUUAAAUUUAUUUAAACUAAGUACGCACGCACACAUAAGCAUAUUUAUAUGAAUAUAUUUGACCAAGGUCUACAUCUCACCUUGAUCUAGUGUAACCUGUAUUAGGCCACUUACAUAUGUAUUUCUCCCAUGCUAUUCUUAGUGAACUUCAUAAAAUGCUUUGUUCAAAAUAUGUGCUCCCAAUUAAUUUGUGUAUUAGCGCAAAGUUUAUUUACAUAUACAUAUAUGCAAAUAGUUUUAAAAUUUUUAGUGAACAAAUAUGUAUGUUGUUUCACAAAAUAUGAACCACUUAUGAAAAGCAUACUUUUACCAAAAAGUCAUAUUAGAUUAUAUCUGAAUGCCCAAGAAUUUGUGCUUUCUUCCUAGUGCUGAACACAGUUUGUUAUCUCGAAAAUAUUUACGGUGUUAAAAGAUAUUAAAAUUGAUUAAUUGUAAUUUAUUUGUGUGAGAGCCAGACAUGACGCAUAUAGCUAGGUUUAAAUGAACGUAAGUAAUGCAAAUGUUGUAAAUAAGCGCCCACCCACCCACAUACUACUUUAUACACACAUACAUAAAUGUAUCACUUAUAAAUAACCUCGUUUCAGUAUCAUCAAAUCAUCAUAAUGUAAGACCUUGUAUAAUUUAUUCUUAUUUUAAUUCACUUUUUGAAAUUGACGAUCAGUAAAAUCGAAAACUGUGAAGCUUAGAUUAGUACGUGCAUAGAUUUCCAUACAUCCAUACUUUUAUUUAUACCAACCUAAAGGUUCCGUAUAAUUUGAAUGAAGCGAAGCAAAUCCGAAUGAUUUAUAACUGACGAGUGAAAAGGGUGCUCAUAGCAUAGACAUACAACUAUUUUUAUGAAAACACAACAAAAUGCAAAGCAAUCUAUUAGUCAGCUUAGAAAUAAUAUUGUAUAUGAAUUUCAACUAAAAAUUACUUCUACAUUAUUGUUUAUUCAAUUAGUUGUAUGGGUAUGCAGCAUAAGUACACAUUACAUACAUAUGUAUACAUAUACAUAUGUAUGUAUGCAUAUACCAUUUAGAUUUAGACAGGAAAUGGGGCGACAGAUAUGAUUCGCAGCACAGCACAUAUACUAUGUUAACUACAUACAUACAUACAUAUGUAUACCAAACAUUUUAAUAAUGUUUUCACAAGUAGAAUAAUAAAUGUAGUAUUUUAAAGCGGUAUGGCGUAUGUAAAACGAACCUAUAACCCCUACAUAUACAAAUAUAAUGAAUUAUUUGUUAUGUUAAUUACAUUUUCUUGUAUGUCUCUGAUUUCUUAAGCCUCUUGACUGCCUUAUAGCACCUUUUUUUGUACACAUAAGUAUGUAUGUAUGUACAUAUGUAUGUAUGUAUUAAUUCAAAAAUAAGUUUGUUAAAACAAUCGUGCCGACGAUGCGUAAAAUCGAUGCAGUAGGUGUCUAAUGUAGAAAUAAUUUAAAAUUCAAUGAAAACAAUUGUAAAAAUUAAUAAAAAAAAAAAUAAAAUGUAAUUGAUAUUCUGCAGCUAUAAAAAACAAAAAUUACUUAUAGUUAUGCCACGUUUACACUGUAGCUAAUUUCGUUAAAGGGAAUAUUAUAUGAAAAAUAUUUUUAAACGUCUUCAUACAUUUAUGUUUUGCCGAAAAUGUCAAAAAUGUGAACGAACUGAUAUACCACAAAACUUGUAUACAAUACAAAUAUAUAUUUUUUUACAAUUUUUAGAGCUACAUAUGUAUACUGCAUAUAACAAUUUAUUGCAUAUAUUUUUCAACACAUACCCAUUAUAUAUACAAUUUACGCGCAUUAAAUAGAAAUAUUAAUUAUCUCAAAACUUCGUUUAGGGGUAUAUUCGUAAAAUUUCGCAAUAUUUAGUUAAUACAUUUUUUACGAAUAUUCUACAUAUGGCAUACAGAACUCGUUUUUCAACUUUUGCUUUCGUUACACCAUCAAGAAAGAACCAAGCAGAAGAAAACAGCAGAAAAAUAAAAUAUGUAUAAAAGAAAAAUAAUAAAUAACAUAAUGGAUGACAAGGAUAA